RNAcentral lists this long non-coding RNA (1804 nucleotides) under Homo sapiens (human). Its description in RNAcentral is "HSALNT0340599". The record is from RNAcentral. Lineage: Eukaryota; Metazoa; Chordata; Mammalia; Primates; Hominidae.
UGUGUCUCUAUGCAUGGAGUAAGAAAGAAACCAUCCUACAAUAGCACCAAAUCCAGCAUGGAUGGCUGUGUUGGUGCAGGACUUUCACAUGUCUUUGGAGUAGAAUAAGAUGUGCCAAUCCAGACUCAACCCCAUCUCAUCAAGAUCCAGUGAUCUUCGUUUUCCGAUUGUCUAGCCCAAGCUCUCUUCCUCCCCAGACUCAUCCUCCACCCUGCUACUGGACUUGUCUUUGUACUCUCAAAGCAGUGUGAGGAGAUUCAUCAACCGGUGGUGUGGACAUGUGAACAGCGUGAGGCAGAGAGUUAUAAGCUUCUUGAGGGUGGCAGCCAGACAGUAGCAGUUUGUGUGCAAAGCCCCUGCAGUGGCAUAUGGAAGACUUUCAAUACAUCAGGACCAGAGGAUGAGCUGGAAAUGAAAUCACACUCACUGGUGGGAGAAAACCAAACUUGAUGACAGAGGACCAGUAAAGGAAGCAGCUUGAGUAUGUGUCCUCAGAUGCAGACACAAGGCCUUGCCUUCCUGGAUGAGACAGGCACUGACUGGAGCAGGGUUUGCCAGACUCAAAGGGCCACAUUUUAGGGACAGUCUAAAAUGUGGUAUAUGGACAGUCUGGCAGUGGUAUGUAGAAUGGGUUAAAACUGGAAGACUGGGCUGGGUAUGGUGGUGCAUGCCUGUAAUUCCAGUACUUUGGGAGGCUGAGGCAGGAGGAUUGCUUGAGCCCAGGAGUUCAAGACCAGCCUGGACAACACAAUGAGACUUUGUCUCUAAAAAAACAAACAAAACUGGGUAAUUAGGAGGUGACUACAAGAGCAUAGGGAGCUAGUGGAAAAUGAAAGGAUGUGUGUAAAUCUGAAGAAAAGGUCAGAACUGAAGGUCAGAAUGUGUGCUCUGCAAUGUGUGAAUACAGUAUGAAUGUGCUCCAGGAAGAAUAUCUGAAACAGAUUAUCAUGAGUUUCCAGAAGUAUGUGGCUGUACUCAGAGUUGGGGAAGAAGAUAGCAGGAAGUGGGCAGAGGCAGUAAAAGCGGAAUGGGGAUUGAGGAAUUGAUGCUCCUGAUAAGAGAAAAAAAAGGCAGCUUGUGUGGGAGCAGGAGCAAGUUUUUGACAGGACAGGCUGUCACAUAGGGUUUUGCUGCUGAACUCCACCAAGCAAAGCCUUGGAGCAGAGUUCCUCAGCUGCUGAGGUCCACACUCACACUCAGCUGUGGCAGGAGGCUAUGGAGUCUACAGGCUUAUAGGCAAUUCCCAGAGUGUUAGUUUCCCACUGGCAUUCUGGGCAUGUGAGGGGCUUGUAGGGCUGGGCUGGAGACUAGAUGAGCCUGCCUGUGUGCAGGAAGUGCUAAACUGAAUACUGAGUGCCAGACUUGCCUGGCUCCAUACUAAACAGGGAGUCACGGCUUCUGUCCAUCCAGGAAAUACAUGUACCUCUCAUAUAUACCUAUUCCACAAACUCUUUUUGAAAGCCCAGACGAUAAAUAGGCACAAAGCUACCUAAGCUCAAAAGGCCACCUGGCUCUACAUGUGAGACAUUAACAUGAGGGCUUUAUAGAUACUUUUCUAUAUGUGGCCUCAAGCAAACCAGAAGAAUGUAAGUGCCAUCGCAUGUCCACGGGCCAGCUGCAGACCCCCUUGAGCAGACUCGUGACUUUUUGCACUGACCUGGAUUUGUGGUCAGACUGACCUGGGUUCAGAUUCCUGUGUCACCAACUGGAGCCAUGUAACCCUGGGCUUGGGCUAACAUCUCUUUUUUUUUUUGAGACAGAGUCUCACUCUGUCACCCAGGCUGGAGUGCAGUGGUACAAUCUU